Molecule: long non-coding RNA, 543 nt
Organism: Bubalus bubalis (water buffalo)
Lineage: Eukaryota; Metazoa; Chordata; Mammalia; Artiodactyla; Bovidae
Exons: 2
Source: RefSeq, a predicted model, not a curated record
GGCGAGGGUACUGGAGUGGGUUGUUAUUUCCUUCUCCAAGGCAAAGGGAACCAGGUGGCAUGUGGGAAUCUUAGUUUCCCCACCAGGAUCCAACCCACACCCCCUGCAUUGGAAGAACAGAGUCCUAACCACAAGACAACCAAGAAAGUCCUUAAAUGAGCCUUUAUAAUCCUUUGAACUGCAAACACAAGACAAUGUAUAGAUAUAUGUUAUCUCUAAGUUCCAUGCAUUUUCUUCUUGACUUUGGAACAGGUCACUGAUGUUCAGUCAAGCCUCUCAUGAAGUAGUUGGCUGUGAUUCCCAGGGUCAGUGCACACAAAGCAUUUACCUACAAACUCUUGGAGGCCCCAGGGGAAGCAAUCAGAUUCCUAACAAGAUUUAGCUCUCUCAUCUCACACUUACGAGUGGAUAAACCAGCAUUAUAUCCAUAACUCUUUUCUCUUUCUCCAUCUCCUUCCUGUUUUUUUUUCCUUUGUCAAACUCCUAAACUUAUAAAUCAAAUGUGAAUAUGAUACCAUGAAUAAACUGCACUCCAAUAAAAAU